Molecule: long non-coding RNA, 2028 nt
Organism: Prunus dulcis (almond)
Lineage: Eukaryota; Viridiplantae; Streptophyta; Magnoliopsida; Rosales; Rosaceae
Exons: 2
Source: RefSeq, a predicted model, not a curated record
ACAAGCGAGAGAGAGAGAGAGAGAGAGAGAGAGAGAGAUAAAUACAGAACCUUGGAGCAGAUGGAAAGAUAAGACCCGUCAGUCUCACUAUCACCACUCCACCCUGCAGCUCAGAGCAACCAACAACCGAUCAGUGAGAGUGGAAAUAUUACAUCAACUUUUCAUGGAUGUAGUAAUUAUCAUAUCUUCUUGAGUUUCAGAGGCGAAGAUACUUGCAAGACUUUUACCGACCACCGCUCCAUAGCCUUGGUCAACGCCAUGUAAGCCGUGGGUGAAGAAUCUUAAAGGCGUAGCUUUUGAUGGAGAAGAUGUUGGAUGAAACCAAUUGUGAAGUUCUUCGGCAUAAAGUAGAUUGGAGAACCAUAUAAAGAAAAACGUACUAAUCUUUCUUUCUGCCUCCGAUCCCACUUUGUUUCGUCAGAAAAUGGAACUUAGAAUGAAGUCUAUGAACGCAUCUUUGGUGAGUGAGGCAUCUUUCAUUGGACUAGUUGAUAAGAAAAAACACAAAGAUGCAACCCUUCAAGCAAUAGAGGACACAGAAAGCAACUCAUUCUUUGGUAAGGAUGAACACAUCGUUGGAAGAAAGGAGGAAGUAUCAAGUAUAGUUGCAACCUUGAUUAUCUCCAACAGUCAAGAAAGUAUUUUGGUUAUUGUAGGAAUGGGUGGUGUAGGAAAGAUAACUUCGGAUGGGUUAGUGUACAAUGAACCUGACCGAGAAAAGAUAUGUCGUCGUCCUUGAUGACAUUUGGAACAAAAAUGAACAAAAAUGGAAUAGUUUGAUGAGUUGUUUGUCAAAACUCUAUUUCGCUCGGGGGGGAUCACCAAGAUUGUCACUAAACCUUCUAUGAAACAAUGUUUUGCAUAUUGCUCAAUGUUCAUGAAAGAUUUUAAUUGGUGAGUUGAAACACUUGAGGUAUUUGGAUGUUUCUAGAACCAGUAUCAAAGCACUUUUCAAUUCUAUUGGAAAAUUUUGUAAUCUACAAACAUUGAGGAUGACAUAUUGUUUCUCACUUGAAGAGUUUCCAAAGAAAUUGCAAAAUUUGAUCAACUUGAGGCACAUUUAGUUUGAUGGACAUAUGAGAUUUCAUGUUGGUGUGGGGUGACCAACUAAUCUCCAAAUAUUAUCUUAAGUUACAGUAAUGGGAGGGGUUGAGAAAUAUGUGCAACAUGAAGAAGCAUUGAAAGAAAAUUUAGUGGGAAAGACAAGCAUAUACAUUUGAAGAUUUGUAAGGGACACAAAUAGUCUAAGGACCGACAAGGAGGAUAAUGUAUGAGCAAGGAGACAGGGGCUUUGUUUCCAGUCUUGAAGACAUUCAAAUUAGUGAAUGGGCCACAGAACCCCAUCUCUCCUGAGGAUUUGAAGAUAACUUAGUGAAUUGAGGGUUGAAGCAUGUGAUCGAUUCACGAGUCUACCAGUGAACCAGAAUCCCAUACUUCCUAUGACUCAGAAUUUACUGUAUUCCAGAUGACAGAGAAUACAUGAUAUGGUUAAACCAUUGGAAGUUGGAGAAUCACUAGAAGGUGGCGACACAGUGGUUGUUUGAGAACCUCCGAUUCAGGUAAAGGAGUGUGGCAUCCAGCUAAUAGUGCAGGAGGAAGAAGAGAAUAUUAAUACGCAACAUGACACCAGGGAUCCUUCUUAUGCAAGUGUCAUUGAUGGAGAUUUGGCUCAAGACGAGCCAGGAACAUACUUGUUCUUCCCUAGAUGGAAGCCAAUAACAGAUCUGAUUUGGUUCGAUAAUCUCUUUGGGGCCUCUGAUGAAGAUACAGGUGUGGUGUUUACUAACACAUUUUAUUUUACUCCAACUAUUUCUGAACAAAAGAGAGAAUAUAAAACAAUGACACCCCAGAUAAAUUAGCAUCAUGAUGUAUUUUUAUUUUAAUCUAAGCUGUUGAUAGUUAAUGCAACAUGCCUGAAACACUUCUGUUUCAUUUCAAAAGAUUUCCUCUAGUGUUUGGGAAUUUUUCUUUUAUUUGUAUAUGUUUUUAAGAGAACAGCAACCGGAUGAUCAAAAGCUUGUUUAUCAA